CCCCUCUUCCCAGCGCACUGCCAGUAGAAGUCUGCUUUUUUAUACGCAUGGCCGUCGUUGUCACCGGUCCCGGCCCCGGGAUUCUUGAUUCCCCACCAUCCUACCCUUUUUUUUUUUACCAAGCCAUCCUCCCCUUUUCUUUGUUCUGUGGUUUUCCCUUUUAAUAUAUCCCUUUCUUUUGGAGAUACAGAGAUAACGUAAAUCUUUUCUAAAGAAACAAAGGUAACGUGUAAAUAAUCUCUGUAUAGGACACUCGGAUCGUCACAUAUACUCCGUACACAUUUAUAUAUAAACACGUACUUUUGGAAUAUGAUGAUUGGAUCCUUUAAAUCAUUUAAAUUUAAAUUUUCGGUAACACGAUUACAUGUGGUUGUUCCAC
RNAcentral lists this long non-coding RNA (379 nucleotides) under Brachypodium distachyon (stiff brome). RNAcentral's name for it is "long non-coding RNA (BDIS_LNC005023)". The record is from RNAcentral. Lineage: Eukaryota; Viridiplantae; Streptophyta; Magnoliopsida; Poales; Poaceae.